AAAAAAAAGGGCCUGGUUAAAGGGUUUUUUUGAUAGGGUAAAUUAAGGAAUUUUUUACCUUUAUUA
Molecule: transfer RNA, 66 nt
Filed under: Ariadne ariadne
Lineage: Eukaryota; Metazoa; Arthropoda; Insecta; Lepidoptera; Nymphalidae
Description: tRNA-Ile
Source: RNAcentral